Molecule: transfer RNA, 75 nt
Filed under: Salinisphaera japonica YTM-1
Lineage: Bacteria; Pseudomonadati; Pseudomonadota; Gammaproteobacteria; Salinisphaerales; Salinisphaeraceae
Also listed under: 5 other names
Description: tRNA-Thr
Rfam family: tRNA
About the family: Transfer RNA (tRNA) molecules are approximately 80 nucleotides in length. Their secondary structure includes four short double-helical elements and three loops (D, anti-codon, and T loops).
Source: RNAcentral
GCCCACGUAGCUCAGCGGUAGAGCACUUCCUUGGUAAGGAAGAGGUCACCGGUUCAAGUCCGGUCGUGGGCUCCA